This is a long non-coding RNA of Canis lupus familiaris (dog), 892 nucleotides long. RefSeq lists it as uncharacterized. The record is from RefSeq and is a predicted model, not a curated record. The transcript has 4 exons. Lineage: Eukaryota; Metazoa; Chordata; Mammalia; Carnivora; Canidae.
CAGAGCACAGACUGGAAAUAUGACUGGCUAGGGAAAAGGGGGAGAGGCUGGGGAGCAGUAAGAAAGGUCCACCAGGGAGAGGGAACGGCCAAAGCUAACAACCUGUGGCAGGCAGGAAGGUGGCACUUUGGAGCACUAGCAAGAAAGUGGCUGUGAUUGGAGCCCCACCUGCUGAGUGCCAGACACUGUGCUAGGUACUGGGAGGCAGGAAGCAAUCACGUGGAAAGGACUAGAAGCAUGAACAGAACCAUUCACUGAGUUUCUAGGUGGGUGCUGCUGCCAUGGAAUAAAGAGCUCACCUGAAAGUCUCUCAAAGAGCAAGCAGAUCCUCAGACGUGGAGAUGUCACCCCACUAGGGAAUGUCCCUUGACAGAGUCACGUGUGCUUCUGCUAGUUCAUCAGAGUGGCAAAUCCCAGGUCAGACCUCUGCGGGGCCAACAAUGUUUAGCAUUGUGGGAAAUCCAUCCUGGUAGAAGAGGCUGCAAGAACUAAGCUGUUUAUUUUUUGAUGUUUCUGGAACACGCUUGGAGGCAAAAAAUGAGAUUUUUGAAAAUGGACACAUUUGAUGAGCAUUACAUAAUCCAGGGCAGUCCCUAAGCGGUAUUGUCGUCAAACGGCUCCCCUUAUCAUGCAUGUAUGAUUCAUGUCUGGGCUACACAUGGAAUCGAAGCUGCCUGGAAUUUCUGUGGAAGGCCUCAGCUAUACAAUGGGAAUAACUGGAUCUGCUGCUUAGUGUGAUCUUGAAGAUUAAAUGCAGUAAUAGAAGUGAGGCUUUUGGCUCCUUUCAAGGCUCCGCAGCGGAAUUAUCGGUCAGGGGCUUGUCAACUCCAAUCCUAAACUCUUAAGAGAGGAGUCAGCUGCUCCGAGAACCUGGCGUUUGUAAAGGCGAGCU